GACGAACGCUGGCGGCGUGCUUAACACAUGCAAGUCGAACGGAAAGGCCCUGCUUUUGUGGGGUGCUCGAGUGGCGAACGGGUGAGUAACACGUGAGUAACCUGCCCUUGACUUUGGGAUAACUUCAGGAAACUGGGGCUAAUACCGGAUAGGAGCUCCUGCUGCAUGGUGGGGGUUGGAAAGUUUCGGCGGUUGGGGAUGGACUCGCGGCUUAUCAGCUUGUUGGUGGGGUAGUGGCUUACCAAGGCUUUGACGGGUAGCCGACCUGAGAGGGUGACCGGCCACAUUGGGCCUGCGAUACGGCCCAGACUCCUACGGGAGGCAGCAGUGGGGAAUAUUGCACAAUGGGCGGAAGCCUGAUGCAGCAACGCCGCGUGCGGGAUGACGGCCUUCGGGUUGUAAACCGCUUUCGCCUGUGACGAAGCGUGAGUGACGGUAAUGGGUAAAGAAGCACCGGCUAACUACGUG
Molecule: ribosomal RNA, 468 nt
Filed under: uncultured bacterium
Lineage: Bacteria
Description: partial 16S ribosomal RNA
Rfam family: Bacterial small subunit ribosomal RNA
Source: RNAcentral